AGAGUUUGAUCCUGGCUCAGAUUGAACGCUGGCGGAACGCUUUACACAUGCAAGUCGAACGGUAACGCGGAGAGAAGCUUGCUUCUCUCCGGCGACGAGUGGCGAACGGGUGAGUAAUACAUCGGAACGUGUCCGCUCGUGGGGGACAACCAGCCGAAAGGUUGGCUAAUACCGCAUGAGUUCUACGGAAGAAAGAGGGGGACCCGCAAGGGCCUCUCGCGAGCGGAGCGGCCGAUGACUGAUUAGCCGGUUGGUGAGGUAACGGCUCACCAAAGCAACGAUCAGUAGCUGGUCUGAGAGGACGACCAGCCACACUGGGACUGAGACACGGCCCAGACUCCUACGGGAGGCAGCAGUGGGGAAUUUUGGACAAUGGGCGCAAGCCUGAUCCAGCUAUUCCGCGUGUGGGAUGAAGGCCCUCGGGUUGUAAACCACUUUUGUAGAGAACGAAAAGACACCUUUUAAAAAAGGGUGUUGCUGACGGUACUCUAAGAAUAAGCACCGGCUAACUACGUGCCAGCAGCCGCGGUAAUACGUAGGGUGCGAGCGUUAAUCGGAAUUACUGGGCGUAAAGGGUGCGCAGGCGGUUGAGUAAGACAGAUGUGAAAUCCCCGAGCUUAACUCGGGAAUGGCAUAUGUGACUGCUCGACUAGAGUGUGUCAGAGGGAGGUGGAAUUCCACGUGUAGCAGUGAAAUGCGUAGAUAUGUGGAAGAACACCGAUGGCGAAGGCAGCCUCCUGGGACAUAACUGACGCUCAGGCACGAAAGCGUGGGGAGCAAACAGGAUUAGAUACCCUGGUAGUCCACGCCCUAAACGAUGUUAACUAGUUGUUGGGAAGUAAAAUUCUCAGUAACGCAGCCAACGCGAGAAGUUAACCGCCUGGGAAGUACGGUCGCAAGACUAAAACUCAAAGGAAUUGACGGGGACCCGCACAAGCGGUGGAUGAUGUGGAUUAAUUCGAUGCAACGCGAAAAACCUUACCUACCCUUGACAUGUCAGGAAGCUCUUGUAAUGAGAGCGUGCCCGCAAGGGAGCC
RNAcentral lists this ribosomal RNA (1037 nucleotides) under human gut metagenome. RNAcentral's name for it is "bacterial SSU rRNA". It matches the Rfam family "Bacterial small subunit ribosomal RNA", at positions 8 to 1028 of the family's 1533-position model. The record is from RNAcentral.